GACGAACGCUGGCGGCGUGCUUAACACAUGCAAGUCGAACGGUAAGGCCUUCGGGUACGACGAGUGGCGAACGGGUGAGUAACACGUGGUGAUCUGCCCUGCACUUCGGGAUAAGCCUGGGAAACUGGGUCUAAUACCGGAUAGGACUCCUGGCUUCAUGGUUGGGGGUGUAAAGCUUUUGCGGUGUGGGAUGGGGCCCCGCGGCCUAUCAGCUUGUUGGUGGGGUAAUGGCCUACCCAAGGCGACGACCGGGUAGCCGGCCUGAGAGGGUGACCGGCCACACUGGGACUGAGAUACGGCCCAGACUCCUACGGGAGGCAGCAGUGGGGAAUAUUGCACAAUGGGCGCAAGCCCUGAUGCAGCGACGCCGCGUGAGGGAUGACGGCCUU
RNAcentral lists this ribosomal RNA (389 nucleotides) under uncultured bacterium. RNAcentral's name for it is "bacterial SSU rRNA". It matches the Rfam family "Bacterial small subunit ribosomal RNA", at positions 28 to 418 of the family's 1533-position model. The record is from RNAcentral.